Molecule: ribosomal RNA, 39 nt
Filed under: Caloplaca inconnexa
Lineage: Eukaryota; Fungi; Ascomycota; Lecanoromycetes; Teloschistales; Teloschistaceae
Description: partial 28S ribosomal RNA
Source: RNAcentral
AAUGACCUGGGAUCAAGGAAGGAAACCCCCUGAACUUAA